CCUACGGGGGGCAGCAGUCGAGAAUCAUUCACAAUGGGGGAAACCCUGAUGGUGCGACGCCGCGUGGGGGAAUGAAGGUCUUCGGAUUGUAAACCCCUGUUAUGUGGGAGCAAAUUAACAAGAGAGUACCACAAGCGGAAGAGCCGGAUAACACUGUGCCAGCAUCCGCGUUAAUGCAGAGGUCUCAAGCGUUGUUCGGAAUCACUUGGCGUAAAGCGUGCGUAGGCUGUUGCGUAAGUCGAGUGUGAAAGGCGCGGGCUCAACCCGCGGACGGCACAUGAUACUGCGAGACUAGAGUGAUGGAGGGGGAAGCGGAAUGCGCGGUGUAGCAGUGAAAUGCGUAGAUAUCGAGAGGAACACUCGUGGCGAAGGCGGGUUCCUGGACAUUAACUGACGCUGAGGCACGAAGGCCAGGGGAGCGAAAGGGAUUAGAUACCCUAGUAGUC
RNAcentral lists this ribosomal RNA (446 nucleotides) under uncultured bacterium. Its description in RNAcentral is "partial 16S ribosomal RNA". It matches the Rfam family "Bacterial small subunit ribosomal RNA", at positions 338 to 795 of the family's 1533-position model. The record is from RNAcentral.